GGCUACGUAGCUCAGUACGGUUAGAGCACAGCAUUCAUAACGCUGAGGUCAUGGGUUCAAUUCCCAUCGUAGCUA
This 75-nucleotide transfer RNA is filed under the name Enterobacteriaceae endosymbiont of Donacia thalassina. RNAcentral describes it as "tRNA-Met". It matches the Rfam family "tRNA". From Rfam's summary of the family: Transfer RNA (tRNA) molecules are approximately 80 nucleotides in length. Their secondary structure includes four short double-helical elements and three loops (D, anti-codon, and T loops). Lineage: Bacteria; Pseudomonadati; Pseudomonadota; Gammaproteobacteria; Enterobacterales; Enterobacteriaceae. The record is from RNAcentral.